RNAcentral lists this ribosomal RNA (479 nucleotides) under uncultured bacterium. RNAcentral describes it as "partial 16S ribosomal RNA". It matches the Rfam family "Bacterial small subunit ribosomal RNA", at positions 28 to 507 of the family's 1533-position model. The record is from RNAcentral.
GAUGAACGCUGGCGGCGUGCUUAACACAUGCAAGUCGAACGAAGCACUUAAGAUUGAUUCUUCGGAUGACGUCUUUUGUGACUUAGUGGCGGACGGGUGAGUAACGCGUGGGUAACCUGCCUCACACAGGGGGAUAACAGUUAGAAAUGACUGCUAAUACCGCAUAACCCGAUAGGAUCGCAUGAUCCAGACGGAAAAGAUUUAUCGGUGUGAGAUGGACCCGCGUCUGAUUAGCUAGUUGGUGAGGUAACGGCCCACCAAGGCGACGAUCAGUAGCCGGCCUGAGAGGGUGAACGGCCACAUUGGGACUGAGACACGGCCCAAACUCCUACGGGAGGCAGCAGUGGGGAAUAUUGCACAAUGGGGGAAACCCUGAUGCAGCGACGCCGCGUGAGUGAAGAAGUAUUUCGGUAUGUAAAGCUCUAUCAGCAGGGAAGAAAAUGACGGUACCUGAAUAAGAAGCCCCGGCUAACUACGUG